This is a non-coding RNA of Parelaphostrongylus tenuis, 69 nucleotides long. Lineage: Eukaryota; Metazoa; Nematoda; Chromadorea; Rhabditida; Metastrongylidae. The record is from the annotation of a GenBank genome assembly.
ACCGCUGGUGUAGUGGUAGCACGCGUCUUUUUUGAGAUUGAAAUGUGGGUUCAACUCCUACCUGCGGUU